CUAAGCAAAUUUAUCUAGCAUUCAACCAUUUCUUAAGAUCUGAUUUGGUUUUAUUCAAGGAAUUUGAAACCUUUACAUUGAACCAUUUCUUAUCUUAAUUCGUGGGUUGCUAGCGCAAAUACAGUGCAAUCUAAUGUUUUGAUGCAUACUUGAUUCGGUCUCAAAUGUGAAGGAAGAAAAGUACAUGCUUCUAACUUAAAUUCAGUACAGUUUUUCAUAUAUUCUUUGUCAAUUGAAUCUAGCCAUUAUGGCCUCUUCUCACUAACUCUGUUUUAGUAUAAAUAGGUCUUUUCAACUACAUGAUGUUUUCAAUCUGGAUAAUGAUAAUAGAGGAGAAGAUACACCAACACUGAUUGAUUGCAAGGACAAUGUCUUCAUAAUCUCAAAUUUUAAAUCAAAAUAUCCAGUGAUGCAACUAGAUUUGAGAUUAAUAUCAGAUUUGAGGGUCGUUUUUGUAUCUGCAGCCUGUGGUGGCACUGCCUUUGCUUGCGCUGGACAACCUGUCUGAUACGUACAUUCAUAAAUGCAUACACGUCUACAUAUAUUUCCAAAUUUAAUAGAGAAAACUUAAUGCUAUGAUCUUACUUAGUGUUCAUAUUCUGCUUUCUUCGUACCAAAACUUGACUGGCUAUUAGUGAAUGAUUUCAUUGAACAACAUAUGCAUCAAUUACAUGCUGCAAGUGUAUGAUGGUGAAGCCGUUACGGUGCCUUCAAAUGAUCACAUUCAUUU
Molecule: long non-coding RNA, 730 nt
Organism: Malus domestica (apple)
Lineage: Eukaryota; Viridiplantae; Streptophyta; Magnoliopsida; Rosales; Rosaceae
Source: RefSeq, a predicted model, not a curated record